CCUACGGGUGGCAGCAGUGGGGAAUAUUGCACAAUGGGCGCAAGCCUGAUGCAGCCAUGCCGCGUGUAUGAAGAAGGCCUUCGGGUUGUAAAGUACUUUCAGCGGGGAGGAAGGCGAUAAGGUUAAUAACCUUGUCGAUUGACGUUAUCCGCAGAAGAAGCACCGGCUAACUCCGUGCCAGCAGCCGCGGUAAUACGGAGGGUGCAAGCGUUAAUCGGAAUUACUGGGCGUAAAGCGCACGCAGGCGGUCUGUCAAGUCGGAUGUGAAAUCCCCGGGCUCAACCUGGGAACUGCAUUCGAAACUGGCAGGCUAGAGUCUUGUAGAGGGGGGUAGAAUUCCAGGUGUAGCGGUGAAAUGCGUAGAGAUCUGGAGGAAUACCGGUGGCGAAGGCGGCCCCCUGGACAAAGACUGACGCUCAGGUGCGAAAGCGUGGGGAGCAAACAGGAUUAGAUACCCGCGUAGUC
Molecule: ribosomal RNA, 465 nt
Filed under: uncultured bacterium
Lineage: Bacteria
Description: bacterial SSU rRNA
Rfam family: Bacterial small subunit ribosomal RNA
Source: RNAcentral